RNAcentral lists this long non-coding RNA (1258 nucleotides) under Naja naja (Indian cobra). RNAcentral describes it as "lncRNA (ENSNNAG00000007969.1)". The record is from RNAcentral. Lineage: Eukaryota; Metazoa; Chordata; Lepidosauria; Squamata; Elapidae.
CUGGAGAGCAGCCCUUUCGCCCGCUCUCCGGCUGCUCGCCUCGUUCGCUCGCUGGCUCUGCGCGGCUGGAGGAAGCAGCAGCAGCAGCCGCCGCAGCCGCCGCAGCAGCAGCCCGAGAGCGCUGGCGUCCCAGGCGGCCCUGGAGCAGCCGUUUCCCCCACCCCGCAGCUGCUCCGCGUGGAUGCCCAACCAGGCGCGUCUCUUCGCCCGCCUUUGCCCUCCUUCCCGCGGAGAGCCAGACAGACGCCGAGUCUCCCCGGCUGGAACUCAUCCUUGAGUUGCAGUGACUCUUGGUGCCCGAUUCUUGGGAUUUGGCAGAAUUUGCUGAAGCUUGCAUGCUGCUUCAUGCAGACACACAUUCCCCUCCCAUGGCAUCACAUGAUCAAAGUUCAGAUGCUUGGCAAAUGACUCAUAUUUAUGAUGAUUACAGUACCCCAGGAUAAUGUGAUCCCCUUUUGCGAUAAGCAAAGUCAAUGGGGAAGCCAGAUUCACUCAAUGAUCAUGUUACUAACUUAACAACUGCAGUGAUUCGCUUAAAAAUGGCAGCAAGAAAGGUCAUAGAAUGAGGCGAAACUCACUUAACAACUGUCUUGCUCAGCAGCAGAAAUGUGGAGCUCAAUUGUGGUUAUAAGGUGAGAUCUACCUGUAUAUCAUUCUGAGACUUAUUAUGCUUUUAAAAAUUUAUUUAGCAUUUUGGAUGAAGCCAGGCAAUUGUGUCUUACAAACCAUUGGUUAUAAUUUAGCAUGGUAUAAGAGUCCAAUCCAUGGCUUACAAUCAUAUUUCUUCUUUCUCUUGUGUCAUUUCCAUCAUCGGACGUUGGCGAUCAUGUUGGCAAUCCUAUUAUAAUCACUGGCAUGAUUUAUUCACUACAUGGCAUUUAUCUAAAACCAGGGGUCUUCAAACUUGACAGCUUUAAGACUUGUGGACUUCAACUCCCAGAAUUCUUCCUCCAGUCAUGUUAGCUUAGGAAUUCUGGGAGUUGAAGUCCACAAGUCUUAAACUUGCCAAGUUUGAAGACCCUUGGUCUAAACUAUGGCUUACAACCUUGGUGUGUGAAUGCCAUCUUUUUUUCCCCAAAGGCUUACAUGUCUGCAUAAUUUAAACCUGUUGCUACUUGAAAUGAAAAGAAAGCAAAGGGAUUUCAAAGAAGUGCCUAUACAGGGUUAAGUAAUACUGUGUUUGUUCCUUAAUUUGGAUCUUCUCCAACCAUUAAUACCUAGUGAACAUACUCUGAUUGAUGAUAUUUUCACCUGCUGG